GGCCAUGCAGGCUCCUCCAGGCUGCUUGGUGUGGUCAGGCCGUGAGUGGUUCCAGCAGGCGGGAGCCUAUGUUGGCGCCGGAGUGGGUGCAAGUCAACCCACAUUCCAUCGCCUCCUCCUUUCUGCCCGCAGGAGCCUUCUUCUUUAUUAGGCAUCGCCCCAGCAAUCAACUCAUCUGAUCUUCACAGCAGCCCUGCAAGACACACUGGGAGGUUCUGGCCUGUGGAGGAGCCCAUCGAGGUUUGAGUGAGGGAGCCGACAAAGAAGUGAAUGCAGGAACCAUCACUGGCAACAGAAGCAAUGGUCCUCCAUGUGUCCUUACAUCACUGAAUCUUCCCAGGGGCCUUGUGAACCAUGACUGAUGCUCACCCUCAUUUGCAGAAUUGUCUUGAGCAGAAGAUCCUGGCAACACGGUGAGCACCUAGGGAUUUAGGGAAGCCACUCUAGCACUCUGGCAUUGAUUGUCCUGGCAGGAGACAGAUGACAUCAGUUACUGGAGUUCCCUGCUACAAUGGAGAUACGGCCAAGGUGAUGUGGGGCAUGCGGGAAGAGGUGCUGGGUGGGCUGGCCAAGGAGGUGGACCUUGGAGAAGAACAUACCAGGCUGUCCAGGAGACGUGGGGAAGCUUUGGAGGUGGCAUGGAGCUUGGAAAAGGGCAGACAAUUCCCUGUAUAGGAAGCACAGGCAGUUUGAAGUAAGCAGCAAGAGAUGGGGUUGGUGAGGCAGGCUGGUAGCAGGUGAAGGGGAGAGUGGGCUUCGCUCUAUGCUGAGUAGGGAGCUAUUGGAGGGCUGACGAAAUAGAGUGUCCAGCUCAGGAGUGCAUUUCAGAAAAGCUGCUCCAGCCUGGAGGGCAGUUUGCCUGUAACAAAGAGGUCUCCUUAGAGGUCCUUGGACCACCCCAGGAUCUAGGAGUAGAGCAGCGGCAAAGGGGAUGAGAAUAAGACAAAGGAUAGGUAGAAAUGCCCAUCACUGAGGGGACUUGGAGACCUACUGGAUGAGGGGACAAAUGGAAUCUGAGGUUGUGAGUUAAAACUGUGACUCUAAGGCAAUGGCAAAGAAAUUUAAAAUAAUGGGGGCUGAAGAAGUAAAAGCCCAGGUACCUGGUCCCAGGUUGGUCUAGUAGCUCCACAAACAUCAGAGCCCCAGAUUCCUCCCACCUUUUUAGUCAUACCCAGCCUUGAACAUGCGGCCCAGAAAGGCUGUUCCAACUCCCGUUGUCACAUCUGCAAUCCACUUAGUGGAAUGAAAGAAAAGAGGGAGGGGGGCGCACUCAUUCAUCUCAAAGAUAUGACUUCGAAUUCCACACAUCUCUGCUCACAUCCUAUUGGUAGAGCUUAGAGGCAAGACCAUACAUAGCUGUAAGGGAUGCUGGAAACGGUAGGCUGCCAAGUGCCCAGCUAAACAUUCUUCCAUUGUGGAACAUGGUGGGGGAUGGAGCUAUGGGAGGACAACUAGGGAGGUUGUGCAAGCCCAGUGGCCACUCUGAGCUUGAUAUUUCUCAUUUACAAAACAUAUUCCAUGAAUAGUCACACUUCCUUUUUUACCAAAUAAAUGUAAAUAUGAUCCCUUCUCUGUCAACUGCACGCUGUGUUUUCCUGGCAAGUCAGAUGUCCCUAUUUGGAGACAGCUUUCCCAGCCAUUGAAGGAGACAUUGGAAAAUAUCCUCAACAUGGACUUUACGGGGCUUACA
This 1690-nucleotide long non-coding RNA is filed under the name Homo sapiens (human). RNAcentral's name for it is "HSALNT0164983". The record is from RNAcentral. Lineage: Eukaryota; Metazoa; Chordata; Mammalia; Primates; Hominidae.